CAUAGGAAUGAACGAGUUCCCGCCUACAACGCUGUAUCCAGUUCUUAUUAUACAUCCAUGAUUCAGAGAUGCACAAAGACAGUCGCACAAUGAUGAUGUCACAGACAGACGCGUGGUACGAUCAGAAUCGCGAUAACAGGGAAGAGUGGCGCGGCCAGAGACUCGGAUAGAAAACAGAUGUGCGUGAGAGUUCUUCGCUGUGCGGGGUCAGACACGAGAGUGGGGUGGCGAAGUCAUCAGAUAUGUGUUCAACAAAACCACAUUCAGCCCUGUUCCUGAAGUGCUGAUUCUGUGACUGUAGCUUUAAAUGAACUAGCUGCUGCUGGCCACGCCCCGUUGGAGCUGCUGCUGGCCACGCCCCUUUGGAGCUGCUGCUGGCCACACCCCUUUGGAGCAUCAUGAUCUCUCUCUGAAGAGAGUUUUCUACCGGGAGAAACUCAGCUAAACGCUGCCAUGAUUAAACGCCAUAUUAUGUUGAAA
Molecule: long non-coding RNA, 480 nt
Organism: Eleginops maclovinus (Patagonian blennie)
Lineage: Eukaryota; Metazoa; Chordata; Actinopteri; Perciformes; Eleginopidae
Exons: 3
Source: RefSeq, a predicted model, not a curated record